AUGUUAAAUGCAAGGAUUCCGGAACGUCAAGCGGACACGCCGGAGGAGAUACACGCGGAAAAGGUGUGCUAUAAAGGUAUGGAUGAGUUCUCUUCCGGAUGGUGAUCAUUACGUUAUCAAGAACCGAACACGCAUUUUGAAGCUUCCGCACUAAACUUAACUUUGUCUAGACUUUAAUCACAUUGUAAAUAUUUUUGUUAAACUUGUUUGGAACCCUGUAACUAGUUGUAGUUGACUAGUAAGGGU
This 246-nucleotide long non-coding RNA is filed under the name Helianthus annuus (common sunflower). RNAcentral describes it as "sRNA HanXRQr2_Chr14g0637881". Lineage: Eukaryota; Viridiplantae; Streptophyta; Magnoliopsida; Asterales; Asteraceae. The record is from RNAcentral.